This 474-nucleotide ribosomal RNA is filed under the name uncultured bacterium. RNAcentral's name for it is "bacterial SSU rRNA". It matches the Rfam family "Bacterial small subunit ribosomal RNA", at positions 700 to 1166 of the family's 1533-position model. The record is from RNAcentral.
GGAAGAACAUCGGUGGCGAAGGCGCUCUGCUGGACCAUAACUGACACUCAGGGAACGAAAGCGUACGGGGAGCGAAGUGGGUAUUAGACUACCCCAGUACGUCCUAGACCGGUAAACAGUGGAUACUAGGUUGUUGUCUGUAUCGACCCGGACAGUGCCGUAGACUAACGCGUUAAGUACUCCCGCCGUGGGAGUACGCACGCAGGUUAGAACUACAAAGGAAUUGGACGGGGCCCGCAACAAGCGGUGGAGCAUGUGGUUUAAUCGAAGCAACGCGAAGACCUUACAGGUCUGACAUUCUUUGAUCACCUGAGAGAUGUACGGUUCCCUUCGGGGGCAAAAUGACAGGUGGUGCAUGGUUGUCGUCAGCUCGUGUCGUGAGAUGUUGGGUUAAGUCCCGCAACGAGCGCAACCCUUAUGACUAGUUGCCAGCAUUAGUUGGGCACUCUAGUAAGACUGCCGGUGACAAACCGG